GUGCUUGCUUCAGCAGCAUAUCUACUAAAAUUGGAACGAUUAACAUGACCCUUGCACAGGGAUGACCAUAAAUUCAUGAACCAUUCUAUAUUAAA
RNAcentral lists this small nuclear RNA (95 nucleotides) under Pteropus vampyrus (large flying fox). Lineage: Eukaryota; Metazoa; Chordata; Mammalia; Chiroptera; Pteropodidae. The record is from RNAcentral.